CCAUAGCUGACUCGUCCUUAUUCCCUCUGCGUUCAUCUCGCCGUUUAGUUCAGGGCUUUGGAGGCGGCGAUCGAUUUGCUUCCACCUCAUUCCCAUUCCCAUGGAGGACGACGACGAUGUCGACGGCGUUCUUCCGGCCUACAUCGAGGAGGACGAAGAAGAGGCCAUGGACGCGAAGCAGCAGCGACGCCAGCAGAGCAUCAAGCCUCGGAAGAUGAUGCCCUGGGAGCUCGCCACGCCGGAGGAGAAGGCCAAGGAGGAAGUCAGACGGGCUCUGGAGGACGAGCUCUACGAGCACGGCCCCAAGACGGGAUCCGGCUCCUACACCCGCCUCUGGUUCCUCGACCUCACCGUCUUCGACCUCGACGAAGAGACACGGUAUGGUCCGAUGCGCUACAUGAUCGAAUUCGGUUAUCACGGAUAACAAUAGGUUGUGUGACUCGUUAAACGUACUCUCUCUGAAGAUAGUGUCCUCGGAUAUUGGCUACCCAGUAAAUGUGUAUGGGACCGUGAUAGUCAGAGACGAACUGGAUUAUAGGUGUAUCAGCAUCUUCCGACGCGACAGAAGCAAUUGCCAAGUAGUCCGGUCAGAGAAUGAAGAUCUGAUUCUGACUGGCCCAACUAGAGGAGUUGUUUAUCUUGGUGGAGCUUUCUUCGAGAUAAAUCUUAAGAUCAACGAAGAUGAAGAGCGCAAUGACAGACAAUUUAGCAAAGCAUUGAUUGACGUGAUGCUUAGCCUAGUAAUUGUCAGGAGAAUGACCCCGAGUAGGGUUACGCCGACACAUUAGCCGAGAUGAUGAAGACAAAGCCGGCACAGGCAUGUACAUCGGUAUCCUUAAGCUGAACUAAUAUCAGGCCGGCAUACCAAGGAUAUGCCGGCAUGCCUAUCUUGUCU
This is an RNA transcript of Brachypodium distachyon (stiff brome), 895 nucleotides long. RefSeq lists it as uncharacterized. The transcript has 3 exons. Lineage: Eukaryota; Viridiplantae; Streptophyta; Magnoliopsida; Poales; Poaceae. The record is from RefSeq and is a predicted model, not a curated record.